AAGACUAUAGACCUGCGGAGUACCUGCGGAAGGAUCAUUACAGAGUUUUCUAACUCCCAAACCCAUGUGAACUUACCAUUGUUGCCUCGGCGGAGCCUACCCUGUAGCUACCCUAUAAGGUGGUUACCCUGUAGCGCCCCGCCGGUGGAUUUUCAAACUCUUGUUAUUUUUAGUAAUCUGAGAGUCUUAUUUUAAAUAAGUCAAAACUUUCAGCAACGGAUCUCUAGAUCGGAAGAGCAC
RNAcentral lists this unclassified non-coding RNA (240 nucleotides) under soil metagenome. Its description in RNAcentral is "partial contains 5.8S ribosomal RNA, internal transcribed spacer 2, and large subunit ribosomal RNA". The record is from RNAcentral.